Long non-coding RNA from Anastrepha ludens (Mexican fruit fly), 410 nucleotides. RefSeq lists it as uncharacterized. The transcript is spliced from 3 exons. NCBI's taxonomy places the organism in Eukaryota, Metazoa, Arthropoda, Insecta, Diptera, Tephritidae. The record is from RefSeq and is a predicted model, not a curated record.
UCAAACUUGAGUUUGGUAAUUUAAUCUUUAGUUGACAAAAUGAGACGCGAAAUUUAAGUUUAAAUAUCUAAAGGAAUAAGUAUCCGCAAGUGAUUCAGCUGGUGCGAAAGAGCAUUUCCAAAGCAUUACUCCUGGGCCUAACUUUAGAUGAGUUAGACGAAGACGACCGGUGAUUUACACCACACUGAUAAGUCGUUCACAGUAAAACACAUUUUCCGAACUGCCAACUAACAAACAGCAAAAGUAACAAAACUGGUGUAAGGUAACACAACAAAAGUUGGCUGGAAGCUCCAAGUGGAAAUCUCUAAGGAACUGAUGAGAAUGUAAUGUAUAUUGAAUAUGACAGAAUAGAGCAUUUGGUGGAAUAUACAGUCACUCACACCUUAUUUGAUACAGAUACGAUUUUUUUA